UUGGAGGGCAAGUCUGGUGCCAGCAGCCGCGGUAAUUCCAGCUCCAAUAGCGUAUAUUAAAGUUGUUGCAGUUAAAAAGCUCGUAGUUGAAUUUCGGGGUUAGUAGGUUGGUCAUGCCUCCGGUAUGUACUGGUCUCACUGAUUCCUCCUUCCUGACGAACCGUAAUGCCAUUAAUUUGGUGUUGCGGGGAAUUUGGACUGUUACUUUGAAAAAAUUAGAGUGUUUAAAGCAAGCUAACGCUUGAAUACAUUAGCAUGGAAUAAUGAAAUAGGACGUUCGAUCCUAUUUUGUUGGUUUCUAGGAUUGACGUAAUGAUUAAUAGGGAUAGUUGGGGGCAUUAGUAUUCAAUUGUCAGAGGUGAAAUUCUUGGAUUUAUUGAAGGCUAACUACUGCGAAAGCAUUUGCCAAGGAUGUUUUCAUUAAUCAAGAACGAAAGUUAGGGGAUCGAAGACGACCAGAUACCGUCGUAGUCUUAACCAUAAACUAUGCCGACUAGGGAUCGGAUGAUGUUAAUUUUUUAAUGACUCAUUCGGCGCCUUACGGGAAAC
RNAcentral lists this ribosomal RNA (549 nucleotides) under uncultured Glomus. RNAcentral describes it as "SSU rRNA". It matches the Rfam family "Eukaryotic small subunit ribosomal RNA", at positions 548 to 1098 of the family's 1831-position model. The record is from RNAcentral. Lineage: Eukaryota; Fungi; Glomeromycota; Glomeromycetes; Glomerales; Glomeraceae.